AUCGACGGGAUGGUUUGGCACCUCGAUGUCGGCUCGUCGCAUCCUGGGGCUGGAGUCGGUCCCAAGGGUUGGGCUGUUCGCCCAUUAAAGCGGUACGCGAGCUGGGUUUAGAACGUCGUGAGACAGUUCGGUCCCUAUCCGCUGUGCGCGUAGGAAUAUUGAGAAGGGCUGUCCCUAGUACGAGAGGACCGGGACGGACGAACCUCUGGUGUGCCAGUUGUCCUGCCAAGGGCAUGGCUGGUUGGCUACGUUCGGAAAGGAUAACCGCUGAAAGCAUCUAAGCGGGAAGCCUGCUUCGAGAUGAGUAUUCCCACCAACUUGAUUGGUUAAGGCUCCCAGUAGACGACUGGGUUGAUAGGCCAGAUGUGGAAGCCCGGUAACGGGUGGAGCUGACUGGUACUAAUAGGCCGAGGGCUUGUCCUCAGUUG
RNAcentral lists this ribosomal RNA (428 nucleotides) under Streptomyces sp. SID11233. RNAcentral describes it as "partial 23S ribosomal RNA". It matches the Rfam family "Bacterial large subunit ribosomal RNA", at positions 2504 to 2925 of the family's 2925-position model. Lineage: Bacteria; Bacillati; Actinomycetota; Actinomycetes; Kitasatosporales; Streptomycetaceae. The record is from RNAcentral.